UUAAUAAAAACAAAAUACAAUGAGUUAUAUAAUUGUCUUAGAAAAGGAGGUGGGAAAACGAAGAAGACAAAGAGGCGAAUAAGGGCCGCACGACCCCGACCUCCUCUCACCGACGUGGCAUUCUCCGACCAGCGUCUCAUCUCAUCAGCGGUUCGCUGACCAUCGUCGCCAGCACUUCCUAUUGCCCGUCACUCCUCCGUUUUUCCUCGCCGCCACCCAGACUACCGACGCCGACGGUCCGUACUCCAGGCCCUCCUUUUUCCGUUGCCGCAUCCUCCCAGCCUCCCCGGUAUGUCAUCUCAGUUAUUUUAUUUUUAUUUUUAUUUUUUUUUUAAUUUCUUUAAGUUCUCUACAAACCUUAACUUCCAUUUAAUUUAAUACUCGUUUAAUUUUCUGUUUUAGGUUAUGCUCAUUGCUGGGUUAUAAAAAUAUGGAUUUAGUUAACUGAAUGGAAUUAGAUUUAUAGAAAAUGCUAAUGAAUCAUGAAAAGAAAUAUAUUCAUACAUAACAGGUGAAAAAAAGUAUAGGAGGGGAAAACCUAAAUGAAUGUGGCAGGUUCAGGACUUAUGUGAAGCAAAUCCUGAGAGCCCGGGUGUAGAUGAAGUAAUAUGCCCUUGUUCGGUAUGUAAGAAUAGACGUCUUCAUGAUGCAAACACAGUAAAACUUCAUUUGUAUAAGAAAGGGUUUAUACCUAAUUACUAUGAGUGGGUGUCUCAUGGUGAAGGGUUCCCUACAUCAAGUGUAUAACAACCAAAACCUUACCGUGAAAUGGUUCUCGAUGCUCUUGGGUAGGGGUGAGAGUAGCAGGGUACCCUGUAAAAAUCUUAGGAUCCAGAACCGGAACCAGUUGCAACAGGUUCCUAAAAAUGGGCCGGGAACCGAAACCGGAACCUGUUCAACAGGUUCCUAAAAAUUGGGAAUCGGAACCGAAACCUGCAGGUUCCGGUUCCUCAACAGGGUACCUUGUCUUUCAAAGUAAGCUUAAUAAUUACUUGAUAAAUUUUAACAAAAAGAAAAAUAGAUGUUCACAAUAAAAGCUUACAACUUUAAUAUAGUACAACAAAUAUAACAAACUAACACUCAUUGUCUAGAAUAUUUGAUACAAUAUUAUAAAUACUUGUAUUAAUACCAUUAACUAAACCUUUUAAGAGUAAGAUGAAAAAUGAAUAAGAGGAGGAAGAGAGGUAUGUGAUGGCUUUUACACAAUUUUGAUGUAAGAAGGCAUUAUAUUUGGGUUUAAAUGAUAGGUUCUGAUUUUGUGUAUCCUACAGGGAACCUGUACUAACAGGGUACCCUACAGGUUCCGGGUCCAAAAUUUUAUUACCCGAAACCGGAACCUGUUGCAACAGGUUCCCAAUUUUAUUACUCGGAAUCGGAACCUAAUCUACAGGUUCCGGGUUUGGAACUUGCAGUUUCGAACAGGUCCCCGUUUCGGUUCUAGGUCAGGGUACCCUGAAUUUUUUCUCACCCAUACUCUUGGGAGUAAUCAUGAACCAUCGGGUGACGAUGGUACUAGUGGUUCAGAUGAAGAGCCAAAUGCUCAAGCAAAAGCAUUUCAAGAUCUUUUAAAGGCUGUCAAGCAACUAAUGUAUGAAGGGAGCUCCAUGUCUGUCCUAGAAAUGGCAUCUCGAAUUGUAUCUUUGAAAUCGGAAUACAAUUUUCCCCAUAGGUGUGUUGAUGGGUUUGCUUCAUUAAUGAACGAAGCAAUUCCAAACGAUAAUAAGAUGGGGAAAACAUUCUAUGAUACAAAGAAGAUUCUUAACGGACUUGAGCUUCCGCACGAGAAGAAUCACACAUGCCCAAAGGGUUGUAUGUUAUUGAUAGCAUGAUAUUUUGUAUGAUUAUAGAGUGGUAUUUAACAUUGAAUUUGUGAGGAAUCGAUGCCUUAUUUCAUCAUUCACUCUAUUUUUAUGCAUUUUUGUGUAUUACGUGCUUCACGGGGUUUUUUUUAUUGUUUUUUUUAUAACAUUUUAAGUCCAAUGAUCACACUACGAAGCAUCCCGGGAAGUAUGCAAGGAAUUUUGAGCAGUGAGGAAAUGGAGUGAAGCAAUUUCGAAGAAGAAAGAAUCAAGAUCGAAGAAAGGAAGGAAAAUAAAGGCCAAGAAGACCCUACACGGACGUGAUAACUCUUGCACGCUCGUGCAGGGGUGUUCCAGAAUGACUAUUGAUACUGCCCAGGUUUGCACGACCGUGCAACAUCAAGAACGCCCGUGCAAAACCUUAGGCAUGGUCGUGGAAAGCCCUGCACGCCCGUGCAGGGUGUCUUGGUCCAAAACAGUAGCUACUGCUUCAGCAUAAGAAGACCUGCACGGACGUGCAACAUUUGGCACGCCCGUGCAGCUUGCAAGAUACCAAGACAGUAGGUUUCGCCUUCUACUGUCUGAUUGUUCAUGGCCGCGCACAAUGCUUCACGCCCGAGCUGCCUAUGCUUCACGCCCGUGCUGCCUAUGCUGCACGCUUGUGCCAAGCUACAGUCGAACCCGAUUCUUGUUUUCUCCAUCUUUUUUUGGGGGUCUUAUAAAUACCUCCCUUGAACUCAUUUGUACGGACCUUCUUCCCUUUUAACUCCCUUAGGCUUAUUCUCUUGAUUAGUUUAUAGUUUUCCUCUCCCUUAGUUUCUAAAAAAACUCAAUCAUUUGUAAGAAUUAUUGGAAGUUUCUUCCAACAAUUUCAACAAUUUCUCAACUUUGAAUCUUAUUAAGUAA
Chenopodium quinoa (quinoa) is the source of this 2705-nucleotide long non-coding RNA. RefSeq lists it as uncharacterized. The transcript is spliced from 3 exons. The record is from RefSeq and is a predicted model, not a curated record. Lineage: Eukaryota; Viridiplantae; Streptophyta; Magnoliopsida; Caryophyllales; Amaranthaceae.